GGUCUGGUAGCUCAGUGGAAGAGCGGUACCUCAUCAGGGUUCAGGUCGGCGGUUCAAUUCCGUCCCAGACGC
This is a non-coding RNA of Deinococcus hopiensis KR-140, 72 nucleotides long. Lineage: Bacteria; Thermotogati; Deinococcota; Deinococci; Deinococcales; Deinococcaceae. The record is from Rfam.